UACGAAGGGGGCUAGCGUUGCUCGGAAUGACUGGGCGUAAAGGGCGCGUAGGCGGUUGAUGCAGUCAGAUGUGAAAUCCCCGGGCUUAACCUUGGAACUGCAUUUGAGACGCAUUGACUAGAGUUCGCGAGAGGGUUGUGGAAUUUCCAGUGUAGAGGUGAAAUGCUUAGAUAUUGGGAAGAACUCCGGUGGCGAAGGCGGCACCCUGGCUCGAAACUGACGCUGAUGCGCGAAGGUGUGGGGAGCAAACAGG
Molecule: ribosomal RNA, 253 nt
Filed under: uncultured bacterium
Lineage: Bacteria
Description: partial 16S ribosomal RNA
Rfam family: Bacterial small subunit ribosomal RNA
Source: RNAcentral